Molecule: long non-coding RNA, 616 nt
Filed under: Arachis ipaensis
Lineage: Eukaryota; Viridiplantae; Streptophyta; Magnoliopsida; Fabales; Fabaceae
Description: long non-coding RNA (AIPA_LNC001756)
Source: RNAcentral
CCAAAAUAACCAGGUCAGUAACCAAUUCCUAUUUGACAAAUCCAUAGAAUCAAUCAGUGCACUAAGCUGAUAUCUUUCAUGAAAAGCUGUUUGGGCUUUUCCACCAAACUUGAUAUCAUCCCGGAGUAUCUGCUCCUCACUCCUCAGCCAAGUAGGUCAUAGACAAAGUUAAUUUUAUUUUCCAUUAAUAUUUAAGCUGAAAAGAAGGUCAUAAAAUAGAAGGAGAAAAAAAAAGGAACCUUUCAAUAUUCUAUCUUAACAUAUCACCUAACUACUUCUACAACUUCCAAAUCACAGAAGAGAGAAUAAUACUGCAAUAAAUAAUCCUAAUACUACAAUUUCUGCAUAGAUAAAUCUAUCUGCUGCAAUAAGUGAUUAAGAGAAGCCAUAAUCUAGAAGUUCAAUUCCAUUCUAUAUCUAUAAGAGUUCAACGAAUUUCACUGUAUUGCUAGAACACUGAUUACUUAAGAAUGUGCAAUUCUAGGGUUCCAAAAACAAUUCACCAAACAGAAUAAACAAACAUGCAUACAAUAUGAGAGGAAAUAGAUUAAACCAGCGUUACAAUGGUGAAACUGAAAAAGUUUCAGAAAGCCUCUUCAAGCUAUAUAUAUAAAAU